UACAGAGGGGGCAAGCGUUGUUCGGAAUUACUGGGCGUAAAGGGCGCGUAGGUGGCCUUCUAAGUUGAACGUGAAAUCCCUGGGCUCAACCCAGGAACUGCGUCCAAGACUGGGAGGCUUGAAUCCGGGAGAGGGAUGCGGAAUUCCAGGUGUAGCGGUGAAAUGCGUAGAUAUUGGGAGGAACACCAGUGGCGAAGGCGGCUACCUGGACCGGUUCUGACGCUGAGGCGCGAAAGCGUGGGUAGCAAACAGG
Molecule: ribosomal RNA, 253 nt
Filed under: uncultured bacterium
Lineage: Bacteria
Description: partial 16S ribosomal RNA
Rfam family: Bacterial small subunit ribosomal RNA
Source: RNAcentral